RNAcentral lists this transfer RNA (88 nucleotides) under Apibacter sp. B3924. RNAcentral describes it as "tRNA-Ser". It matches the Rfam family "tRNA". From Rfam's summary of the family: Transfer RNA (tRNA) molecules are approximately 80 nucleotides in length. Their secondary structure includes four short double-helical elements and three loops (D, anti-codon, and T loops). Further hydrogen bonds mediate the characteristic L-shaped molecular structure. tRNAs have two regions of fundamental functional importance: the anti-codon, which is responsible for specific mRNA codon recognition, and the 3' end, to which the tRNAs corresponding amino acid is attached (by aminoacyl-tRNA synthetases). tRNAs cope with the degeneracy of the genetic code in two manners: having more than one tRNA (with a specific anti-codon) for a particular amino acid; and 'wobble' base-pairing, i.e. permitting non-standard base-pairing at the 3rd anti-codon position. Lineage: Bacteria; Pseudomonadati; Bacteroidota; Flavobacteriia; Flavobacteriales; Weeksellaceae. The record is from RNAcentral.
AGAGAGGUGCUCGAGUGGUUGAAGAGGCUACCCUGGAAAGGUAGUAUACGGGUAACCGUAUCGUGGGUUCGAAUCNCCAUCCUCUCUG